ACAGACAAAAUAAAGGCUCUAUAGGAAGGGGACAGAACAUUAUAGGAGAUAAAAUGGGAGAUGGGAUUUUAGUGCAUGUUCUAACUCCUUUUCUAAGAGCAAUGGGAAUAUUAAGGUCGUUGUCAGAAGGGUUGGAAUCAAGAUUAGGAUCAGAAUCAACAGGGAUUAAAGAAGACUCACCAAGUUCUUGUUCGGCUGUAUUUUCAGGGCCUGAAAUUGGCGAGGACGGUUGAUCAGAGGUCUCAUGCUCCAUGGUUGUAUCUGUUAUAGUCCGUCGUGUGUAGGUUUUCAAAUCAGGUCUAUCCAAUCUUCCUAGAGGUUUGGGUGGUUGUUCUCUCUUACUAUCUAUGUCUACAGGAAUCUCCCCCUGGAAAGGAAUGCCGUGCAUCACCUAUUCCAUCCGAUAUUUCUCUCCUUGAAGAGGUGAUUGGGAAGAAAAAUAAGACUCAAAUUCCCGAAAGAGGAUGGCAGGAAUGGCACGUUUGUCAUUGGUGAUGAUCAUUUCCCUGCAUCUUUGAUGGACCUACCUUGUGUUGUGGA
Non-coding RNA from Jatropha curcas, 540 nucleotides. NCBI's taxonomy places the organism in Eukaryota, Viridiplantae, Streptophyta, Magnoliopsida, Malpighiales, Euphorbiaceae. The record is from RefSeq and is a predicted model, not a curated record.